This 253-nucleotide ribosomal RNA is filed under the name uncultured bacterium. RNAcentral describes it as "partial 16S ribosomal RNA". It matches the Rfam family "Bacterial small subunit ribosomal RNA", at positions 524 to 776 of the family's 1533-position model. The record is from RNAcentral.
UACGUAGGGUGCGAGCGUUAAUCGGAAUUACUGGGCGUAAAGCGUGCGCAGGCGGUUUUGUAAGACAGAGGUGAAAUCCCCGGGCUCAACCUGGGAACUGCCUUUGUGACUGCAAGGCUUGAGUGCGGCAGAGGGGGAUGGAAUUCCGCGUGUAGCAGUGAAAUGCGUAGAGAUGCGGAGGAACACCGAUGGCGAAGGCAGCCCCCUGGGCCAACACUGACGCUCAGGCACGAAAGCGUGGGGAGCAAACAGG